Equus caballus (horse) is the source of this 2979-nucleotide long non-coding RNA. The record is from Ensembl. Lineage: Eukaryota; Metazoa; Chordata; Mammalia; Perissodactyla; Equidae.
AUUUUGGACUUUGAAGAUACUAUGUUGAUGGCUUGCAGGAAAGUAAAGAAAAUCUUAUUGAAAACUGAAAUAAAGGGGAUACUUGUUACAUAGUAGCAGAAAACUUAGCAACACUCACCUGCAGCCAAGCAGAAAGUAGAAAAUAUCCCUAAUGAACUGCGUAAUCUAGCUUCUGAAAAUGUUCCCAAGCAAAGUGUUGAAGAUGCUGCCAGGUUUCUUCUUGCCACAUACUGCAAAUAUGAGAGGAGAGAGAGAAACGGAGGAAAGGGCUGCAAACAAAAGACAGAAAGGACUUGAUGGCUUGGAGACUCCUCAGCCUCCAUACGUGGCAAACGAAGCUAAAAUUUAGAAAUGACUUCUGAGCAAAGAUCAAACCCAGGACAUUUCUAGGAAAACAUGGCCUAAAGAUAAGGCCAGGGGUGUGAAUAAGUCUUGAGAUGAUUGCAGCCCCAACCACAGCUUGACUACAACUUCGUGGGACCCCUUGAUCCAGCAGCAUCCAGCAUGUGGCUCCCAGAUUCCUGACCCACAGAAGCUGUGAGAUAAGAAGUGCUGUCUUCAGAUGCAAAGUGCUAAGUGUGGGGGUAAUUUGCUACACAGCAAUGGGUCACUAAAACAUUGAGCUUCUGGAUAGGAUGUCGUUUAGAGGAAAAAAUGUUGUCUGAUAAACAAAACUAAAUAGCAUCUUUUUAAAAAGGCUGAGGCCAUAAGCAACAAGAGUUCAUCUUCUUCCCACCAACGUGUUUUAAAUACACUGACUUUCCUUAGGUAGUGGCCACAGAGGACAGAGACGUGUGGUGAGAUGGAUGGUUGCUGCCAGCUGGACUCACAAGUCUUUCCUCCUGAGGGGAUUAAGUGGUGUGUUUUCCUGGCCAGGGGAAAGAAGAGAGGCGGGUCUCCCCUCCUUCCUGGCUCCUCACAUAUUCUCUUCUAGAACAAGACUCAUACCCAGUGAACCAGCGUGGGCCAAGUUCUUUAAAUGGGGAUUUAGCAGCUGAAAAGUCAAAGAAAAGCCCCUCUCACCAGCCUUCUCUUCACACCACCCUAAGGACUUGAUCCUGGGCACACUGACUUGUGCAUACCUUUAAAGAACCUCACAAAGAUGUGUAGGAAGAGAAUAUGGGAAGGAUCCAGAGCACGUGAUGAUUCCUGCUUUGGAAAAACCUUGAGAGGUGAUCUCACCCAACUUAUUCUACCACGCCUCCCCCAGCACCUAAACUGUCCACAGAUCUCCCUUCAUGCUAAGCUGGAUCCAGUUCCACUUCUGUCACUUGGACUCAAACAGCUCUGAUUGAUACUGCAAGCCCGUGCCCUUCCUCCACCUUCCCCUACAGCCCUGGCCGACCACGGUGGAAAGUAGCCCAUGUGCCCCUGAGAAUCAGGCAGGCCAAGCUCCCCAAGAAAAGACAAAACAACUUGGGAGAAACCAAAUGUUCCAUACAUCCCUGAGGACGCCACUGGGGCUUUCAGAUACAGCCGAGGACAGUCACCACAUGGCACAGGGUGGUGGCAGAUACACGGGACUCCUCAAGGCUGAGAUAACCCAGUCCCAAACAUGCCUGGUCGCUCAUCCAGGAGGAUGCUACCAUGCCUCCUUUGUCCUCUCCCUUCUUCAGCCUGGGCCCUCAGAGGUGACAGCAUUCACUCUACAGUUUGGGAGACCGGCACACACACCAAAAGUGAUAGCAGCUGGGCCGGCCUCUGAGCUGUUCUCCAGGCCUGGGAGGGACCAAAAUUCCCUCAUCCUGAUGUCAGGGCCACUCUGUGUUCCUACUGGCAGCAGACGGGCAAAGCAGGGACUGAAUGUGUAGAACUGACAGAUAUAGUCAGGGAAAGGCUGGUAGGAAAACGCUGGAGGUUCAUGGGAGGCAGGGAGCACAGGGUGGAAGGAACUAGAAGGCUUUCUCCCUAUUCCUCACCUACCCCAGAUUUCUAGAGAGCAGAUUUUAAUACCACAGUGGAUUCCAAUCCUGGUUCCGUGACGUCACCUUUCCGAGUCUAGGAUUCCUUACCUAUAAAUGAGGAUGCCGGUUCCUCCCUUGCUGGGUUGUUACAAGCACUAAAUUAGAUAUUGUCUAUAAAAUGCUUGACACAGCAGCAGGCACAGAAUAACCUAUCAAAGCAGAGCCACUAUUAUUGGUUAUUGUCAUCUAUUCUUUGUGCGCGUGUGCCGUGGAGAUAAUUACAAUCAUCUUCCGUACUGGGGUCGUAUUUUAUAAUUUCCAACCUACACCACAUAUAUUUUCUCCCUUAGUCCUCCAUCAGCCCUCUGAAGGAGAUUUUAUUGCUGUUACUAUUCCCACUCUAUGAAGGAGAAAACUGAGAAGAGAGAGAGAGAGAGAGACAUGGAGACAGGGAGAGGCAAGGGAAGAAAUCAGAAGCAAAUUGCUAAUUGGUUUCUACCUACUCAGAAGUGGGUCAGGGAAAGAGCACCACACCCUCAAAGAAUUCAGGCUGUGUGCGCCAACAUCCUCUUUCCAAUCUCAGGAAAAAUAAGCAAAAAAAAGCACACCCAAAAAGAGGGAAAACAGACACUGGGAUCAGAAGCUGUGGACACACAUACCAGUUAUGCCUCUUACACACUGAUGAUGUCCUCAACUGCAAAAGAGCGAUAAAAUUAAUACCUACAAGAUGGUGGCCCUGUAGGAGAGCAGAAUUUGCCACCCUAAAAUAUGUCUCUUUGACUUGAUUAUUUUUGAGAACAAAAGACUCAGGUGGAAACUUUGACCUUCCCCCUAACUGCCUAAAAGAUUUUAAGACAGAAGGUCUGUGCCAGGAAGCAGCUAGCACCAUAGAUAACCAUAACAUGAACUAGGUGUGUAGACAGAGAGGAACCUAGCAAGGCCCCUUUGAUCAAAGGCCUCUCUGUGUCCCAUGGUUUCUGCAAGGCAGGGCAAAGAUUUGUUUACCAAACAUUUGCUUUCCCAUCUCCAUGUGAAUUGCCUCCCUUCUCUUUGAAGUCCCAAGGCACUACUCCCA